Long non-coding RNA from Bactrocera latifrons, 1036 nucleotides. RefSeq lists it as uncharacterized. The transcript is spliced from 2 exons. Lineage: Eukaryota; Metazoa; Arthropoda; Insecta; Diptera; Tephritidae. The record is from RefSeq and is a predicted model, not a curated record.
GCUGCCCAGGUGGCUCGGCAUGUGCGGGCUUUAAAUUUGAUUCAAUCACUGAAAAAUCUGGAUGUGGCUUUAACAGCGCUAAAUAUUGAGAAAAAUUUUUUUUGUAUUGUGUGUUUUUGAUUUACUACACGACUUAUUUAUAGCAAAACCGGGUUCACAGAGAUAUUAAAAAAACUAACAUACUAUUCUAGAUACAUAUUGCUUCUUCUCGAAUAGAAUAUCCGUAGAAGCUCUGCGAUAUAAAAAUCGAUAAAUGAAAACUAAUGAGAAACCAGUUUGUUGACGAUGUGUAACAAGUUCAGUGUCUUACACACACACAUACUAUUUACAUAUUAUAAAAUUGGGUUUUUAAUCUUAAUUACUGUUUAAAGCAGGGAAUUCGUACAUAUUUUUCACCCGUUUUAAUAAUAAUAAAUUUCUUCAAAACAACUUCAAAAAACGGUCUUCCGAAGCUAUAACACCAUUCACAAAUACAAAAUUUGAGUGACAAGAACUUGCUUCCAAUCGUUCAGCUUGCGGAGCAGCUGUAUGCUAUAGUUAUCCAAUCUGCGACAUCGCUUCGCUAUAUGGACUUUUGAAAAGUUCCAAGAAGAUCGGACGUUCUCGAGCCAAAUUUUGUUCAGUGAUUAGGCUCAUUUAUGACUCAAUGAGUUUAUAAAAAAGCAAAAUUCCGACAUUUCAGGGGCUGUCCAUUUAUCCAGAAAAAACACGGUUUGUUGUGUGGCCGGUGGAAUCAUCGGUCCAUAUGUCCUCCAAAAUGAUGACGGAGAAAACGUAACCGUAAAUGGCGAACCUUAUCGCGCUAUGGUAACCGACUGUUUGAUGCCAGAGAUUGAAGCUCGUAAUCUGGAGCAAAACAACAGGAGUGACAUUCGCCAGUUACCAGUCAAGAUGUCCGAAAUAGUAAUCGAGAAUUGGACUCAACGGAUGGACCAUCUGAGACGUAGCAGCGGCAAUAUUUGAAGAUAUUCGUCAAGAAAUUAAUGCCAAAGAAUCCACUUUCCAAUAAUAAUAAACAUUCCUCAUUAAAUUUGAA